AAAUUGAAGAGUUUGAUCAUGGCUCAGAUUGAACGCUGGCGGCAGGCCUAACACAUGCAAGUCGAACGGUAACAGGAAGCAGCUUGCUGCUUCGCUGACGAGUGGCGGACGGGUAAGUAAUGUCUGGGAAACUGCCUGAUGGAGGGGGAUAACUACUGGAAACGGUGGCUAAUACCGCAUAA
Molecule: ribosomal RNA, 182 nt
Filed under: Salmonella enterica subsp. enterica serovar Kentucky
Lineage: Bacteria; Pseudomonadati; Pseudomonadota; Gammaproteobacteria; Enterobacterales; Enterobacteriaceae
Description: partial 16S ribosomal RNA
Rfam family: Bacterial small subunit ribosomal RNA
Source: RNAcentral